AGAUGUUGCUGUAAAAUGACACGUUUUCUCCCGGAUUGCCAGAAAUCAGUCGCCACCGGGAACUUCGUGUCAGCCCAGAGUGACAUCA
RNAcentral lists this microRNA precursor (88 nucleotides) under Astyanax mexicanus (Mexican tetra). Its description in RNAcentral is "mir-731 microRNA precursor family". It matches the Rfam family "mir-731 microRNA precursor family". The record is from Rfam by way of RNAcentral. Lineage: Eukaryota; Metazoa; Chordata; Actinopteri; Characiformes; Acestrorhamphidae.